CGCGGCCUAUCAGCUUGUUGGCGAGGUAACGGCUCACCAAGGCAACGACGGGUAGCUGGUCUGAGAGGACGAUCAGCCACACUGGGACUGAGACACGGCCCAGACUCCUAUGGGAGGCAGCAGUGGGGAAUCUUGCACAAUGGGUGAAAGCCUGAUGCAGCAACGCCGCGUGGGGGAUGAAGGCUCUCGGGUUGUAAACCCCUUUCAGCAGGGACGAAUCUGACGGUACCUGCAGAAGAAGCCCCGGCCAACUACGUGCCAGCAGCCGCGGUAACACGUAGGGGGCAAGCGUUGUCCGGAUUUAUUGGGCGUAAAGAGCUCGUAGGCGGUUUGGUGAGUCGGGUGUGAAAUCUCCACGCUCAACGUGGAGGGGCCACCCGAUACUGCCAUGACUAGAGUCCGGUAGGGGAGUGUGGAAUUCCCGGUGUAGCUGUGAAAUGCGCAGAUAUCGGGAGGAACACCAGUAGCGAAGGCGACACCCUGGGCCGGUACUGACGCUGAGGAGCGAAAGCGUGGGGAGCAAACAGGAUUAGAUACCCUGGUAGUCCACGCUGUAAACGUUGGGCACUAGGUGUGGGACUCUAUCGACGGGUUCCGUGCCGUAGCUAACGCAUUAAGUGCCCCGCCUGGGGAGUACGG
This 639-nucleotide ribosomal RNA is filed under the name uncultured bacterium. RNAcentral describes it as "bacterial SSU rRNA". It matches the Rfam family "Bacterial small subunit ribosomal RNA", at positions 232 to 885 of the family's 1533-position model. The record is from RNAcentral.